RNAcentral lists this ribosomal RNA (397 nucleotides) under uncultured bacterium. RNAcentral describes it as "bacterial SSU rRNA". It matches the Rfam family "Bacterial small subunit ribosomal RNA", at positions 996 to 1393 of the family's 1533-position model. The record is from RNAcentral.
CGGGCCAGAAAUGGUCAACUCUUUGGACACUCGUGAACAGGUGGUGCAUGGUUGUCGUCAGCUCGUGUCGUGAGAUGUUGGGUUAAGUCCCGCAACGAGCGCAACCCUCGUUCUAUGUUGCCAGCGCGUAAUGGCGGGAACUCAUAGGAGACUGCCGGGGUCAACUCGGAGGAAGGUGGGGAUGACGUCAAAUCAUCAUGCCCUUUAUGUCUUGGGCUUCACGCAUGCUACAAUGGCCGGUACAAAGGGCUGCGAUACCGUAAGGUGGAGCGAAUCCCAAAAAGCCGGUCUCAGUUCGGAUUGAGGUCUGCAACUCGACCUCAUGAAGUCGGAGUCGCUAGUAAUCGCAAAUCAGCAACGCUGCGGUGAAUACGUUCCCGGGUCUUGUACACACCGA